RNAcentral lists this unclassified non-coding RNA (262 nucleotides) under uncultured fungus. Its description in RNAcentral is "partial contains small subunit ribosomal RNA, internal transcribed spacer 1, and 5.8S ribosomal RNA". The stretch from base 1 to 73 matches the Rfam family "Eukaryotic small subunit ribosomal RNA", at positions 1759 to 1831 of the family's 1831-position model. Lineage: Eukaryota; Fungi. The record is from RNAcentral.
UCAAACUUGGUCAUUUAGAGGAAGUAAAAGUCGUAACAAGGUUUCCGUAGGUGAACCUGCGGAAGGAUCAUUACAGUAGGGGGCUCUGCCCCUGGAAAAGACACCCUUGAUUUUUGAGUACCUCUGUUUCCUCGGCGGGUCCGCUCGCCAAUGGGGACCCCUCAAAACCUUUUUGUAAUAGCAGUAUCUUCUGAAAAACAAAGCAAAAGUUAAAACUUUCAACAACGGAUCUCUUGGUUCUGGCAUCGAUGAAGAACGCAGC